UACAGAGGUCUCAAGCGUUGUUCGGAUUCAUUGGGCGUAAAGGGUGCGUAGGUGGCCUAAAAAGUUUGAUGUGAAAGCUCAGGGCUUAACCCUGAAAUGGCAUUGAAUACUGUUGGGCUGGAGGUUUGGAGGGGGGACUGGAAUUCUUGGUGUAGCAGUGAAAUGCGUAGAUAUCAAGAGGAACACCAGUGGCGAAGGCGAGUCCCUGGACAACACCUGACACUGAGGCACGAAAGCCGGGGGAGCAAACAGG
Molecule: ribosomal RNA, 253 nt
Filed under: uncultured bacterium
Lineage: Bacteria
Description: partial 16S ribosomal RNA
Rfam family: Bacterial small subunit ribosomal RNA
Source: RNAcentral